Molecule: long non-coding RNA, 8663 nt
Organism: Phyllopteryx taeniolatus (common seadragon)
Lineage: Eukaryota; Metazoa; Chordata; Actinopteri; Syngnathiformes; Syngnathidae
Exons: 3
Source: RefSeq, a predicted model, not a curated record
AAAAGUGGUGGUAGAGGAACUAGAAGAUAAGUUAACUGUUUCAUACUUAUGUGCGAUGCUUAUUUGGUAUGUCGUUUCAAACUCUCAGUUUUAUAGUUUUGAGCCACAUUACAAAUGCUGAAGACAACCAAUUGCUUCCCUGUUUGUAGCUAGAGCACAAGUUUAGCUAUAUCGUUCUGUUCAUGUCACAGUCAAGGAGUCGAACUCGGUGUUGAACUUUAACAGCGACAUCCAACAAUCGGGCCUUUGCUGACUUUGAUGAAAAAGGGUGGAAUAGUGCUCAAAUUUGGCCACAUUUUUGUGUUCACUACUGUAGAUGUUCAAUUAAUCAGUCUGUUUACACGAAACACAUCGCUGUUCUCCACUGGUAGCGGUUUGCUGUGUGCUAGCUUGUUUAUGCAUUUUUAGGUCAAAGGAAACACUGCGGGCCUAGUUUACUAAAGGUUUGUGCAUGCAAAAAAUGUGAGCAAACUUGAUUACUCAUGCACACUGAUAUGGAAGCUGAUCUACUAUCGGGCCACAAUCAGUAUUGCAUCUGCCAAAUGCAAAAAAAUGUGUGCAAUUCAUUUAUGGGAGGAGAAAAUGCAAAAUAAUAAAACAAAUUUAGCACGCACAAUGUGAUUUGUCUAACCUGAGAAGAAUUGUGCUGGCUGAUAUUUAUUUUUUAAAUGACACGUCCAAAAGGCAUGUGGAAACGAUGACCCUGUUACUGUGGUGAGGAGGACACGCAAGCAAAAUGAGAGGCAACAGGGAGAACUGUUCGUUUCCGCUCGUGUAAACAUUUUUGAAAUGCUAGAAUUUUGCCAAAAAAUGAUCACGACAUAUCUAUUUAGCAAUGCAAUUUUGGAGCUUCUGAAUAAUCUAAGGGAUGACUUCAAGCCAGUUACAAGAAGGUGUCACGGUAUACCACAGAUGACAAAACUCCUUUAAACUUUGCAUUUCCUUGCAUCUGGAUAAUUUCAGUGUACUGUGGCAAUUGGUUUUAGGCUCACCUAGAGCAGUUUUUCACGUGUGCUGUCCUAAAUUUUAAAUGUAAUGUUACGCAGAACACAGCCAAUUACCACAUAUUUGUGGUGGGUUAAACCAAACAAAACAUGGCAUUUAUGCGGUUGUUGGCUUCUGUAAAAUAAUCAGAGUGAUAGAUUACUUUUCUGUAACUCAGUAAUAGGUUUGUCCAUUCCACUAACACUUCCAACUCCAUCACUUCAAACUUCAUUUUUCACUUGUGGUGUUCUCCAUCAGCACUACCUUAAGGACAAAAAGCUCUUUUAAAACAGUCUCCACCACUUUUAUAACUUUUGCCAACUGUGCGCAUGCAAACCUAUUAGAGUGAGUGAACACGCAAUUGAGCGUCUGCUAUUUGGGAUCUUAGUAAAUCAGGCCCUGACUUUCUUUAAUAGUUUAAUAUUAACUGGAUCUGCACAAAAUAUGUUAGGUAACACAGAUAUUAUGUUGAUCAAAUUUUGUUGUGUGUAACUAUCCAUCCAUCCAUUUUCUUCACCGCUGCUCCUCACUAGGGUCGGGGGCGUGCUGGAGCCUAUCCCAGCUAUGUUCGGGCAGGAGGCGGGGUACACCCUGAACUGGUUGCCAGCCAAUCACAGGGCACAUACAAACAAACAAACAUUCGUACUCACGUUCACACCUACGGGCAAUUUAGAGUUGUCAGUUAACCUACCAUGUAUAUUUUUGGGAUGUGGGAGGAAACCGGAGUGCCCGGAGAAAACCCACAUAGGCACGGGGAGAACAUGCAAACUGCACACAGGCGGGGCCGGGGAUUGAACCCAAGUCCUCAGAACUGUAAGGCAGACGCUCUAACCAGUCCUUCACCGUGCUUGUGUGUAACUAGCAAAACACAUUUGAGUGGAGCAAGUUGACAUAAAUGUGUAAGUAAAUGUCUUUUUUUUUUUUUUUUAAGUACUGAAAAAAAAAAAUAAUAGAAUUGUGCCACCUGUGACAGUGGUGGGGCAUUUAAUUCUGCUAGUAAACUGAUUUCUAUAGUGAGUCAAGUGUGGCUACUUCACCAUCCUUGCGGAAUGAAAUUAGUUUUUGUUUUUGGGGCAGAAAAUAUGUCUAAAAAUUGCCAUUUUUAUUCACUUUUUACAUAUAUUACAAGCAUUUAUUUUCACCGAAUGCCAUCUUAGCAUAAAUUAAACAAUAAUAUUAAUAUUUGGUUGCCAUUAUUUUCAAUGACUUCAAAUUCAAUUAGUUGAUAAAAAUACAUCUAGUAUUAUAUAAAUGAAAUUCAACGAUGAUGAUAUUUUUAUAUGAUUUUCAUAGUCAUAAGCGCACUCUGAGAGAACCCAUAACUAAAAAAAAUUGCUGAACUCACCCCUGCUUGUAGCACAGUGCAAGGGGUUGGAUUUAAUGUGUCAAGAUAUAGCACUAUGCAUUCAAAUUGUCUUGCCUCGUACUUUACCUCCAUGCGGGCCCGUGCACCUCCUUGCUUCUUGUUUCUCCCCUGCUUGCCUCAUGUGUAAGGGGAUAUCUCCCGCCGACUUCCCGCCUGGCUGGCUGCAGGCCCGACACACUGAACACAGCUUAAGAGGGAGGAAAUGUAUGAAAAUAUCAUCAGGAGUCGGGAAAGCAGUGUGAUUUUUUUUGGCGCUUGUAAACCUUGUAACAACAGUAUUUUUCAUGUGUGUGUGGAGGAGAGGAUAGAUCAAGCCCAGACGUUGUGUGUGUCCCCCACGCUGGCUGUCCUCAUUCUGCUAUGAUGCCGCUGGGAAACAUCCACUUGUCGUCUCGAGAGGGUUUCUGUGUAAAGCUUAGUCUUAUGAAGGAAAAUAUUCCAGAUGUAUAGACGGUAUUAAAUGGUAUUAGACGGUAUAAGCACGUGGCGAUCACCUCUUUUUGAAAAUAUUGUCGUUCUCUGUAAGGAGCUUGGAAAGAGCAAAGAGUUCUAAUAAGUGUGUCUCUUUAGCCAUGCUACUGCCUUUACAGUAAGUGAUGAGGUGCAACUCACUGGUUAAAAUGUGGUGCAAAUCUCCUGCCAAAAGCAAUGGUUUUAGACUUAGCCUUGAGCAUGUCACCGCACAUAAAGAUAUACAUGACUGGAAUGUAGUAUGAGCGGUGAAAACCAAGUAGGUCACGAUUAAGCCUUCAAAAGAGGAGACGUGCUUCACAUUUUUUUUAACAGUUAAAGGAAGUGCAUGGCUUAAAGCUGUCAAUCAAACUUCUCUGUUGCACUUUUACAUUUGUAUUAAAGGUUUGUUCCAUGACCACGCUCGUAGCUCAAAAGACUUAUUGCAAAGCAUCUUUUCCCAUUGAAAUGAAUGGCAAUGCCACUAAUCCGUUCCAGCCUUCCCCUAAAAGCAAGAAUUGCUGUAAUGUGUAUUUUCACGGUGAAAAAUAGCACUCCAUAAUAUUGUACUUUAUAAAAACAUACAGUAAUGACUAUUGAUUAAAUACAAUCAAAAAGAAUUUGACAGUUAAUGUCACACUCCAUCAGUUGAAUGGCUAUUGUGCUGCUCUUCCUGGUGUGCCCGCCUUGGCCAGGUGGGGGCAGUAUAAGACAGACUGAUCAAUAUACUGUUCUCAAAUCCCCUCAGCUUAUCAGUGCGGCACUAAUAGUAGUCGUCCUUCACAGAGGUUAAAGAAUAUAUUACUUUGAAUAUUGUUAUAUUGUCUUUCUGCAUGUGUUGCUGCACUGUUUGUGUUCAGUCUGUUGAACGAUUAUAGAACUGCAACAUAGAUGCUAAUUAGCAUUAAGCUAGCAGACUCAAAGGCUAAGCCAUGUUGUUGUUUUAAUUACACAAGGUAUAAUUCUUUUUUGUUUGGCUUGACAAUAAACUUCUGCUGGGAGUGGCAUGAAACAGCUUGAGCACUAACUAUCAAGAACACAACAUUCUUCAUAAGUGGUGACACAAUUAACAACUAUAAUGCCGCUCGGCAUGCUGACCAGUGUUGACCUCCCUCAAUACUUAUUUGUGUGGAAAGGGGAAAUUCAACUCCAAUUUGACGCAUGGGUUUGGGUUUUUCUCCACUGAGAAUACACGACAGUUAUAAGUAAGAAAGAACAGACCAGUGGUUAUGACCAGGUAAAAUCGUACAAUUGUGGGUUCAUAUGUCUUGUUUACUGUAUCUAGUAUCAUGCAACUAGAUGGAUAUGAAUCAUUACGCAAACGGGUUUACAUUUACCUACAAUUUCAUGUCAUGAGGGGGCAUGCUCGGCAAUACACCACCAAAUGAGUUACUGUGCCCCUCCCCCCUUACACCGCCCCCUGCAGUGUAGCUUUUUCGUGCCAAGCUUGAUAUAAAAUUUAAUCCAAAUGCAAAUUUAUCCAUCCAUUUUCUGAACCGCUUCUCCUCACUAGGGUCGCGGGUGUGCUGGAACCUAUCUCAGCUGACUCUGGGUGAGAAGUGGAGUACACCCUGAACUGGUCACAUAGGCACACAACCAUUCACACACACUUUCACACCUACGGGCAAUUUAGAGUCUUCAGUUAACCUACCAUGCAUGUUUUUGCAAUGUGGGAGGAAACCGGAGUACCCAGAAAAAACCCACGAGGCACGGGGAGAACAUGCAAACUCCACACAGGGGAGGCCGGAUUUGAACCCAGGUCCUCAAAACUAUGAUGCAGAUGUGCUAACCAGUUGUGCACCAUACUGCCCCCAAGUUUCAGGUGCUGAAUUUUUUUUUAGCCACUAUCAGUGAGAUCCUUCCAUCAAUCCAUGCAUUUUCAGAGCCGCUUCUCCUCACGAGGGUCGCGGGCGUGUUGGAGCCUAUCCCAGCUAUCAUCGGGCAGGAGGCGGGGUACACCCUAAACUAGUAGCAAGCCAAUCGUAGGGCACAUACAAACAACAACCAUUCGCACUCACAUUCACACCUACGGGCAAUUUAGAGUUGUCAAUUAACCUACCAUGCAUGUUUUUGGGAUGUGGGAGGAAACCAGAGUGCCCGGAGAAAACCCACGCAGGUACAGGGAGAACAUGCAAACUCCACACAGGCGGAACACAAACACUAAUCAGAACACAAACACUAAUCUUGUGUCUCAUCAGUGUGUAUUAUGGUUGUUGUUGUUCAUCCACUGCGGGAGCAGGAUUUUUCUUUGUGGACAAGAAGGACAAGACCCUGCGACACUGUAUCAAUUACCGGGGUCUCAAUGAAAUAACUGUGAAAAACAGGUACCCUCUUCCUCUCAUCUCCACCGCCUUUGAGUUCCUGGAGGGAGCCUAGGUUUUCACCAAACUAGACUUGAGAAAUGCGUAUCAUCUCGUCAGGAUAAGGGAGGAGGAUGAAUAGAAAACAGCAUUCAACACACCAACGGGACAUUAUGAGUAUUUGGUAAUGCCUUUUGGACUAAGUAACGCUCCAGCUGUUUUCCAGAACAUGUCUUGCGUGAUAUGUUGAAAGUGUACGUUUUUGUAUAUUUGGAUGAGGAGACUCACAUCAUUCAUGUCCGCUCUGUGUUGCAGCAGUUACUGCAGAAUGAACUAUAUGUCAAGGCUGAGAAAUGUUCCACAAGGCGUCCGUUUCUUUUUUGGGUUUUGUGCUGGCUCCAGGUGAAAUGAAAAUGGACCCUUGCAAAGUUGAUGCCGUGACUAAUUGGCCCACUCCCACGUCACGUAAGGACGUACAAAGGUUCUUAGGGUUCAAUAAAUUUCUAGAGAAGAUUCAUUUGAAAUUUCAGUUCAAUAGCCUCGCCUUUGCAUGAUCUUACCUCGCCACAUAGACCCUUUGUGUGGAACCCGCUUUGUCAGUCAGCUUUUCAGAAACUAAAAUCGAGCUUUACCUCCGCUCCCAUCCUCACUUUGCCAGAUCCCAAACAGCAGUUUGUUGUAGAAGUUGAUGCGUCUGGUGCCGGAAUGGGAGCAGUUCUCUCCCAGAAAUGUCUCAAGGAUGGUAAGUUACAUCCUUGUGCUUAUCUCUCUAAAAAACUGACUCCAGCCGAAAGAAAUUACGACAUACUGUGAACUGCUGGCUGUCAAGGUGGCUUUGGUGGAGUGGAGGCACUGGCUAGAAGGGGCUCAGACACCAUUUUCAGUAUGGACGGAUCACAAGAACCUUGAGUAUCUCAAGUCUGCUAAAAGAUUAAAUGCUAGGAAGGCUAGAUGGGCUCUAUUCUUCACAAGAUUUUAUUUCACAUUAUCGUACCGACCUGGUUCUAAAAAUGGUAAGCCAGAUGCUUUAUCGCGUAUUUUCUGCGUAGAGAAUUCUUUGUCUGACCCUAAAACAAUUUUGCCCAGGUCAUGUUUCAUUUCUGCUUUUGUUUGAGACAUUGAAACUGCGGUAAAAGAGGCUCUGAAGAACACUCUUAGCCCUGAAGAUUGCCCUGAAAACAGGCUUCAUGUGGUCCCGACCUUAAGGGGAAGAGUUAUCCACUGGGCUCACACUAACAGGACUGUAUGUCACCCAGGCAUUGCCAAAACGCAAUCUGUGGUCUUUGUGGCAGGAUUACCGGCCUCUAAAGGAAAUACCACCAUUCUCACAGUUGUUGACAGAUUCUCUAAGAUGGCACACGUCAUUGCACUCUCGAAACUCACCUCAGCUAAAGAAACUGCUGAGUUGAUGAUAAACCAGGUCAACCCCAGAAUCCACGGUUCCAUCUGCAUUGACCUUGGUGAGAUGCUGCAGGAGGACCUGGGAGCGAGCCCGCCAAAUGCUGCUCUGCCAAGGAUGGUCCUACAAGACCGCAGCUGACCGUAGGAGGACACCGGCACCGAACUACAAAGUGGGUCAGCGAGUUUGGCUGUCCACCAAGCAUAUUCCACUCCGGGUGGAGUCCCGGAAGCUCGCUUCCAGGUUCGUUGGGCCCUUCCCCAUCACAAAGGUCAUCAACCCUGUCACCAUGGCUCCCAAGGUCGAUGCGGGUCCACCCUGCAUUUCACGUCAGCCUGCUCAAGCCCGCCCGGGAGUCCCCUCUGGUCCCGCCUUCCAGGCCCCCUCCUCCCCCCCGUUUCAUGGACGGGGGCCCUGUCUUCACGAUGUAGGUGUGAAUUUCCAUCCUGGACCCAGAAAAGAGGGCAUCACAGCACCCUGAAAAAAAUACAUGCUUGUCCAAAAACCCCAAAACCUGACAAAACAACAAAAAUGGACGAAAAUGGUUUUACAAAAAAAAAUCUCAUUAAAUGUCUACUAAUAAUAUACAGUUUAAAUUAAUUUGAAAGCAUGUCUCCUAAUGCUGCACUCUUAUAGUACCUCAAUACAAAAAGUCAGUACAUGUACAGUACAUACUGGUGCAUGAAAAGAGACCAGUGGGGUGAGGCAAUGUUUAGCCACACUUAUUAACAGUGUGUGUGUGCGUGUGUGUGUGUUCUCGCAUGCGUGUGUGUAAAUGGUAAACAAAGAAGUGAUUGCGAGUUAAUCAUAAACACAUACAUACACUAUGGCUUGUGUCUGUCUUUGCUAUGUGUCACUUGCAAGCCUCACUCAUGUGGCUACAGUGUUGCACUUUGGACCAAAUUGUGUGUGGGAUUUUAAAAUGAUGCAACCAGUUAACACUAAAUGUUGAGAAUUAAUUCAAUGGUGAAGGCUGGGGCCUGACAAUAUCAUUAUACUGCAGAAUUUCCAAAGUUGGAAAAAGAAGUAUGUGUGAUAAGGAGUGGGGAAUUGAAUGUUGGUUAAUCAUGUGGCAUUUAAACAAGCAUUCAGAACAUUCUAGGAGAGAUUCUUGCAUUGGGUCCUUGCGGCCAGUUGUCAGGGUGCCUAAGCGGGGCCGGCGGACCGCCCUGGGUCCCACGGUGUGGGACGUGUCCUGUCCACCGGGCUGCUCUCAGUGGACCCCUGGACACGAUCCAGCCCCUCGAUUGAUUGGGUGGGGUCCUCAUGUAUGGUUAAUUUUAUGCAGAAAUGUAUACCUGUUUUGUAUUUUAAACAGACAAUAUUUUAUUUUUGAAAGUAAGAAGCAUUCUGUGAAAAAAAACAAAGCUUUUUUGCCUAUGAUGUUUAAUGUGGCGUCAAAGUUUGAUCAUCUUUUUGAGGAUUCGCAAAGAAAAAGGGUAUACAACGGCCGUUAUUCACUGCUUGCAGCUUUCAUUUUAACAUUGUUUUUUUAUCUUAAUCAUGGUUCACUUGUUUUUCUACUUGUAUGACAUUAAAGAACCUGACUCCAAACAACGCCUGUCCAGGAUUUUUUAUUUUUUUUAUUUUUUAUUUUUUUUAAUGGCUAAAGGUUGUGGUCUGUAGCUGUAACUUUUGUUCCACUAUUUUGAGGCUCUGUGUGGACAAUUCUCAAUGACUACAUUUUGUCUCUAAAGAGUUUUUGUUUUCUAUGUUUGUCUCCUUCAGCCUGUUCGGCCCCCACUUUGGUUGUCCAGGGCAGGCCCCGGCUAAAAACUUUGUUUGCCCUGCCUGAUGGCCUCUCUGUUUGCUUUCUCCUUCACUGGAGCAACCAAGUCUCGCAGUCUGCGCCGCACUCAAGUGCUGGCACAUUCGGGGUCAUUGGCUCUGGGGUCUCGGCCCACCCAGAAUGCUGAGCGUUUGUAGAGAAAGAUAAAGACCUCGGAUGGUUCACUGCUAGGAUGAGGUUUUUUUUUUUUGCAAUCAAGCGUUAAUGUAGUGUGGCUCACAGAUCUACAUUCAGAUUACAAGUUGUUUUUUCUUCUUCUUUGGUAGCUCGCAUCUGAGGUUAGGCAAAAUACACCACAAAGACAUAAUUACAUUCUCGAUACGAGCUCUUAAAUUGACUCAUUUUAAAUGAAAGAUAAUGGAAACUGGUUAAAUG